GUCCACGCCCUAAACGAUGUUCACUAGGUGUUGGGAGUAUUGACCCUUCCAGCGCCGAAGCUAACGCAUUAAGUGAACCGCCUGGGGAGUACGGUCGCAAGACUAAAACUCAAAGGAAUUGACGGGGGCCCGCACAAGCGGUGGAGUAUGUGGUUUAAUUCGACGCAACGCGAAGAACCUUACCUGGGUUAGAAAUCAACUAGACGGGUUGUAGAGAUAUGAUCCUUCCCCGCAAGGGGACUGGUUGACAGGUGCUGCAUGGCUGUCGU
Molecule: ribosomal RNA, 269 nt
Filed under: uncultured bacterium
Lineage: Bacteria
Description: partial 16S ribosomal RNA
Rfam family: Bacterial small subunit ribosomal RNA
Source: RNAcentral